Molecule: long non-coding RNA, 1040 nt
Organism: Brassica napus (rape)
Lineage: Eukaryota; Viridiplantae; Streptophyta; Magnoliopsida; Brassicales; Brassicaceae
Exons: 3
Source: RefSeq, a predicted model, not a curated record
CCAUGAUUAUCGCCGAUCUUUAAUGGAGUUUCUAAACUAAAUGACUCAUUUAAUUAAAUCAAAAAUAUGUAAAAGCUUUAUUACCGAUCCUUAGUUAGUGAUUUUUGUGAUCGAUCGUUAGAGUGGUUUUCCAACCACGUGUCAGUAUCCCAUUUAAUCAAUUUUUUUUCUUUUCUCUCUUUCUUUACUUUUUCAUCGCUUCUCGUCGUGAUCUCCGUCUACGAAAGGAUCCAAACCGACGACGGACGAAACCCACCAACGACGACGGACGAAACCCACCAUCGACGUCUCCUCCAUCUUCUCCGUCAGAAGAAGGAUCGAAACCCACCACAAUCCACAAACGAACUUUUUUCUGUUAAAAUCUUAAGAGAAGCUAAAAGAAUCACAGAGGAAGCAAGUCAAGUGUUGAGAGAGAUAUAUAAAGGCGAUGGCUUUUCUGAGUAAAUUUGGAAACGUAUUGAAGCAGACGACGAGCAAACAGCUCAAUGCUAAUUGUUCUUUAUCAAGUCCUUCCCUUUUUCAGGCGAUAAGGUGCAUGUCAUCUUCUAAGCUCUUCAUCAGAGGUAUGGAGUAUGGAAUGAAUGAGGAUAGCUUAAGAGAAGCUUUCAGAAAAUACAAUGAUGUUGUUGAAAGUAAAAACACUGGUCGAGGGGGUUUGGGUUUGUUACAUUCACCUCUGCAGAGGCGGCCUCUAGUGCUAUCCAAGAUUAUGUAAUCAGACGAGUUCAAGGCUUCAUCUAAGCUAGAGACAAUCACUUUCUCCGAGAUGAAACACGAAGAAAUUGAGGCUUUAGUUGAGUUCAUGUACUGCGUUGAUGGCUCUAUUAGUCUUGAAAGUCUCAAGAAACACGUAGGAUAACUCCACUACUCUUAACUUGAUUCUAUUUUCAUUCUUAUAUCUUGUUGUUUUGUGUCACGGACAAGAGGUCAGUGUAAUGUGGUCAUUGUAAUGUUGUCUUCUGUCACAGACAAGAGCUCAUUGUAAUGAAUAAAUAAUAUCUUGUAAUGUGUCACAAACUUGUAUAAAUAAGCUUUUGUUC